RNAcentral lists this ribosomal RNA (722 nucleotides) under uncultured bacterium. RNAcentral's name for it is "bacterial SSU rRNA". It matches the Rfam family "Bacterial small subunit ribosomal RNA", at positions 179 to 916 of the family's 1533-position model. The record is from RNAcentral.
GUGGUGGUUAGAGGGCCAGCAGCAAAGCCGCAAGGCGCCCGGGGAGGGGCCCGCGUCCCAUCAGCUAGUUGGCGGGGUAACGGCCCACCAAGGCGAUGACGGGUAGGGGACCUGAGAGGGUGGCCCCCCACAAUGGAACUGAAACACGGUCCAUACACCUACGGGUGGCAGCAGUAGGGAAUAUUGCAGAAUGGGCGCAAGCCUGAUGCAGCAACGCCGCGUGGGCGAUUGAAGGCCUUCGGGUUGUAAAGCCCUUUUGCGCGGGAAGAGGAAGGACGGUACCGCGCGAAUAAGCCUCGGCUAACUACGUGCCAGCAGCCGCGGUAAAACGUAGGAGGCGAGCGUUAUCCGGAUUUACUGGGCGUAAAGCGCGUGCAGGCGGCCCGGCAAGUUGGCUGUGAAAGCCCCCGGCUCAACCGGGGGAGGUCGGUCAAAACUGCCGGUGCUAGAGGAUGGGAGAGGGAGAUGGAAUUCCGGGUGUAGUGGUGAAAUGCGUAGAGAUCCGGAGGAACACCAGUGGCGAAAGCGAUCUUCUGGCCCAUCACUGACGCUCAGACGCGAAAGCUAGGGGAGCGAACGGGAUUAGAGACCCCGGUAGUCCUAGCCGUAAACGAUGUAGACUAGGCGUGGGCGGGUUCAAAUCCGUCCGUGCCGCAGCCAACGCGAUAAGUCUACCGCCUGGGGACUACGGCCGCAAGGUUAAAACUCAAAGGAAUUGACGG